This 333-nucleotide unclassified non-coding RNA is filed under the name soil metagenome. RNAcentral describes it as "partial contains 5.8S ribosomal RNA, internal transcribed spacer 2, and large subunit ribosomal RNA". The stretch from base 1 to 120 matches the Rfam family "5.8S ribosomal RNA", at positions 35 to 154 of the family's 154-position model. The record is from RNAcentral.
GAUGAAGAACGUAGCGAAAUGCGAUAAGUAAUGUGAAUUGCAGAAUUCCGUGAAUCAUCGAAUCUUUGAACGCACAUUGCGCCCCUCGGUAUUCCGCGGGGCAUGCCUGUUCGAGCGUCAUUUCACCACUCAAGCCUCGCUUGGUAUUGGGCGACGCGGUCCGCCGCGCGCCUCAAAUCGACCGGCUGGGUCGAUCGCACCCUCAGCGUUGUGGAAACUAUUCGCUAAAGGAGUUGUGGUCGGUCACGCCGUGAAACAAACCAAUCUUUCAAUGGUUGACCUCGGAUCAGGUAGGGAUACCCGCUGAACUUAAGCAUAUCAAUAAGCGGAGGA